Molecule: small nuclear RNA, 107 nt
Filed under: Lynx canadensis (Canada lynx)
Lineage: Eukaryota; Metazoa; Chordata; Mammalia; Carnivora; Felidae
Also listed under: 1 other name
Source: RNAcentral
GUGCUCCCUUUGGCAACACAUAUACUAAAAUUGGAAUGAUACAGAGAAGAUUAUCAUGGCCCCUGCACAAAGAUGACACACAAAUUCGUAAAGCAUUCCAUAUUUUU